Molecule: ribosomal RNA, 445 nt
Filed under: uncultured bacterium
Lineage: Bacteria
Description: partial 16S ribosomal RNA
Rfam family: Bacterial small subunit ribosomal RNA
Source: RNAcentral
GUGAGGAAUAUUGGUCAAUGGGCGCAAGCCUGAACCAGCCAUGCCGCGUGCAGGAAGACGGUCCUAUGGAUUGUAAACUGCUUUUAUUUGGGAAUAAACUCCGGUACGUGUACCGGCCUGAAGGUACCAAAUGAAUAAGCACCGGCUAACUCCGUGCCAGCAGCCGCGGUAAUACGGAGGGUGCAAGCGUUAUCCGGAAUCAUUGGGUUUAAAGGGUCCGCAGGCGGUCUUAUAAGUCAGUGGUGAAAGCCUACAGCUCAACUGUAGAACUGCCAUUGAUACUGUAGGACUUGAAUUCGAUCGAAGUGGGCGGAAUGUGACAUGUAGCGGUGAAAUGCUUAGAUAUGACAUAGAACACCUAUUGCGAAGGCAGCUUACUACGCAUAUAUUGACGCUGAGGCACGAAAGCGUGGGGAUCAAACAGGAUUAGAUACCCUGGUAGUCC